CUUUGGUGGCGACCGGCGCACGGGUGCGUAACGCGUAUGCAACCUACCUUUAACAGGGGCAUAACACUGAGAAAUUGGUACUAAUUCCCCAUAACAUUCGAGAAGGCAUCUUCUUGGGUUAAAGACUCCGGUGGUUAAAGAUGGGCAUGCGUUGUAUUAGCUAGUUGGUGGGGUAACGGCUCACCAAGGCGACGAUACAUAGGGGGACUGAGAGGUUAACCCCCCACACUGGUACUGAGACACGGACCAG
Molecule: ribosomal RNA, 250 nt
Filed under: uncultured bacterium
Lineage: Bacteria
Description: partial 16S ribosomal RNA
Rfam family: Bacterial small subunit ribosomal RNA
Source: RNAcentral